UACGUAGGGUGCAAGCGUUGUCCGGAAUUAUUGGGCGUAAAGAGCUCGUAGGCGGUCUGUCGCGUCUGCUGUGAAAACUCAGGGCUUAACUCUGAGCUUGCAGUGGGUACGGGCAGACUAGAGUGCGGUAGGGGAGACUGGAAUUCCUGGUGUAGCGGUGAAAUGCGCAGAUAUCAGGAGGAACACCGGUGGCGAAGGCGGGUCUCUGGGCCAUAACUGACGCUGGAGGAGCGAAAGCGUGGGAGCGAACAGG
Molecule: ribosomal RNA, 253 nt
Filed under: uncultured bacterium
Lineage: Bacteria
Description: partial 16S ribosomal RNA
Rfam family: Bacterial small subunit ribosomal RNA
Source: RNAcentral